RNAcentral lists this ribosomal RNA (598 nucleotides) under Pseudomonas aeruginosa. RNAcentral describes it as "bacterial SSU rRNA". It matches the Rfam family "Bacterial small subunit ribosomal RNA", at positions 1 to 594 of the family's 1533-position model. The record is from RNAcentral. Lineage: Bacteria; Pseudomonadati; Pseudomonadota; Gammaproteobacteria; Pseudomonadales; Pseudomonadaceae.
GAACUGAAGAGUUUGAUCAUGGCUCAGAUUGAACGCUGGCGGCAGGCCUAACACAUGCAAGUCGAGCGGAUGAAGGGAGCUUGCUCCUGGAUUCAGCGGCGGACGGGUGAGUAAUGCCUAGGAAUCUGCCUGGUAGUGGGGGAUAACGUCCGGAAACGGGCGCUAAUACCGCAUACGUCCUGAGGGAGAAAGUGGGGGAUCUUCGGACCUCACGCUAUCAGAUGAGCCUAGGUCGGAUUAGCUAGUUGGUGGGGUAAAGGCCUACCAAGGCGACGAUCCGUAACUGGUCUGAGAGGAUGAUCAGUCACACUGGAACUGAGACACGGUCCAGACUCCUACGGGAGGCAGCAGUGGGGAAUAUUGGACAAUGGGCGAAAGCCUGAUCCAGCCAUGCCGCGUGUGUGAAGAAGGUCUUCGGAUUGUAAAGCACUUUAAGUUGGGAGGAAGGGCAGUAAGUUAAUACCUUGCUGUUUUGACGUUACCAACAGAAUAAGCACCGGCUAACUUCGUGCCAGCAGCCGCGGUAAUACGAAGGGUGCAAGCGUUAAUCGGAAUUACUGGGCGUAAAGCGCGCGUAGGUGGUUCAGCAAGUUGGAUG